AUUGAACGCUGGCGGCAUGCCUUACACAUGCAAGUCGAACGGCAGCACGGGUGCUUGCCCCUGGUGGCGAGUGGCAAACGGGUGAGUAAUACAUCGGAACAUGUCCUGUAGUGGGGGAUAGCCCGGCGAAAGCCGGAUUAAUACCGCAUACGAUCUACGGAUGAAAGCGGGGGACCUUCGGGCCUCGCGCUAUAGGGUUGGCCGAUGGCUGAUUAGCUAGUUGGUGGGGUAAAGGCCUACCAAGGCGACGAUCAGUAGCUGGUCUGAGAGGACGACCAGCCACACUGGGACUGAGACACGGCCCAGACUCCUACGGGAGGCAGCAGUGGGGAAUUUUGGACAAUGGGCGAAAGCCUGAUCCAGCAAUGCCGCGUGUGUGAAGAAGGCCUUCGGGUUGUAAAGCACUUUUGUCCGGAAAGAAAUCCUUGGCCCUAAUACGGUCGGGGGAUGACGGUACCGGAAGAAUAAGCACCGGCUAACUACGUG
Molecule: ribosomal RNA, 486 nt
Filed under: uncultured bacterium
Lineage: Bacteria
Description: partial 16S ribosomal RNA
Rfam family: Bacterial small subunit ribosomal RNA
Source: RNAcentral